UGGAGAGGGAGAGAGAGGAAAGAUGAGAGGUUGUUACUCUCAGUCUUUGAUUAACUGGUUUCUUUCAUUCUAGUAGGGUCUUUAUUAUUUAGAAAAAUAAAAAUGAUCCGAGGCUCUCUCUCCAUUCUCACCCCCAAAAUUUGGAGUAGGUAAUGGAUGUCUACAACCUGGUCCAACAUAUGCCCCCAAACUAAAACAAACAAACUCAUUUGCCAUACAAAUUGUUUACGAUUCAUUAAAAAGCAAAAUUGCAUAUCCCGGUGCUGGCAGCUGAGGCCGAGCCUCCACGGGCGGAGGGGGCAUUCACUGAGUUGCCUUUGUAUGCUGGGAGGACCAAGCCGGAGGUUCCCACUAUGCAGCCUGGAGUCUGUGCAGCCAGAUGACGCAUGAGAAAAAAGAAACGACAACUUAUAAGCAACCAACAGCAUAUACAUUUGGAAAUAAGAAGAUGAGGAGAAUAGAGGCAAAAUAUUUCUGUCUGCUUAUUUGGUUGCUCAAAGAACUUAAGUGUUAUUAUGAAGCCGAGUAAUCAGUAUCCUUCUUCACAGCUGUAUGAAAACAUGCAGGUUUGAUAUCAGCCGGACCUGAAUAGAAGCCUGUGACAUUGACCUUGAUAGACCCAUGUGUAUUGGCCUUCUGCAGGCUACUUUUUACUUUUAUGACCAGAUACAGUGACCUGGAGCAGCACUUCCCUCUGUAAUGGGCAAUCCAGUGCCCUCAAGAAGAUUGAAGAGGAUUCAUGACACUCACCCAAUGAUCUCUUGGAGCCUCUUGCUGUGAAUUUCGGCUUCUUGAUUGACCAGCUCACAUUUUUGUCUCUUGUGGCUGUCCUGCUGCCUCUCUCCCAUCUGUCUCAUUCAUUGAUGGGAGUUUUCUCCUUCAUUCUCGAAAGCAUCACUGACACAAGGAAGUUAUAUGCAACAGACUUUUACUAAAAAUUUAAGGAUGGCUCCAGGGAUUAGAGCACAGAACAGGAACCAACCCAAAAUGCAAAACUAGAUUACUAGACAUCUUGGAAACUGCCAGCCCUCCUUCCUGCAGGGAAAGCCUCACUUGCUCUGUUUAUGUUCAGGUCCUGCUUGUAGACGUGUCUCAUUAGACCACAGCUACAAAAUUUCUAUUCCUAAUCAUAUCCUUUUUUAUUUUUGUAAAUUAUUACCCACCCAGAACAAUAUAAGAGGCCUCGUUGUGUACAAGGCUUGUUUUUUUUUUUUUUUUAAACAGUGCACAGUCUCUAAAUUUUAUUCUCAAAUAAAUGAUUGUUGUUUAGUCA
This is a long non-coding RNA of Bubalus bubalis (water buffalo), 1273 nucleotides long. RefSeq lists it as uncharacterized. The record is from RefSeq and is a predicted model, not a curated record. NCBI's taxonomy places the organism in Eukaryota, Metazoa, Chordata, Mammalia, Artiodactyla, Bovidae. The transcript has 2 exons.